RNAcentral lists this long non-coding RNA (437 nucleotides) under Falco tinnunculus (common kestrel). RNAcentral describes it as "lncRNA (ENSFTIG00000012246.1)". Lineage: Eukaryota; Metazoa; Chordata; Aves; Falconiformes; Falconidae. The record is from RNAcentral.
GGGGGCUUCCUCCCAAUUGUGUAGAAGAAACAGGCAAUACAGAAGGAAACAGUGAGAGGAAAGAGGAUGUUUGGAUAAGAUUCUCCCAGCCAACUUGCAUCUCCUUACCGUGAAGGAAUUUACAUCGGCAUCCUGUGCUCAUGAAAAGCACAAAACUCUCCUUCAGCUGUCACCUCAUCUUCGAGAAAACAGUAUUUUAGUGGAAUGCAAUGUACUGCUUCACCUUCUGACGUUCCUUUCUUGAUGCUUGGGAAACAGGAAAGAGAUGAAACAAGGCCUUCAAAAGAAUAACAAGGACUGAGAACCUUUACAGUCUUCAAUUCCUACGAUUUUCAUACAGUUACCUCAGGAUUUUGUUCAUUAUCUGUGAGGGUUCCCUGUGGGGUUAUUCUAAAAGCUUCCACCCAGGGUCUCUGAACUGUCAUGCUGCAGUAAUU